CCGAGUUUACAACUCCCAAACCCAAUGUGAACGUUACCAAACUGUUGCCACCCUCGGCGGGGUCACGCCCCGGGUGCGUAAAAGCCCCGGAACCAGGCGCCCGCCGGAGGAACCAACCAAACUCUUUCUGUAGUCCCCCCUCGCGGACGUAUUUCUUACAAGCUCUGAGCAAAAAAUUCAAAAAUGAAUCA
Molecule: unclassified non-coding RNA, 191 nt
Filed under: soil metagenome
Description: partial internal transcribed spacer 1
Source: RNAcentral